AUUUUCUCAAAGAAGGUCAAAGGUCCCUUCCCCGCCUUUUGCAUUUGGGGGUGUUGUGUGAAGUCUUUCAGCUGUAAAUACCGAAAUAAAUCUGCGGGUGUGAGAUGUGCUUUCUGUUUGAGGUGUUCAAAUGGCACUACAUCAUUGUCCUCAAACAUGUGGCAGAUUCUUUGCAAUCCCACUUUUUCUAGGUUUGCGAACUCUCUAGGUGCCAUACCUGGGGGGAAGGCUCUAUUUCUCAGUAGGGGUGUUAAUGGGGAUGGUGAGGUCGCCAGUUUGUAUUUGUGUGCCGAAGUAUCACAUAUUCUUAGGGAGUUUAAUAUUGCCGGGCAGUUUGUUCUCAAAAUUGUCCUAUCUUCUUUGGGUACCCACAUGUGGUAUUGGG
Molecule: non-coding RNA, 385 nt
Organism: Pelobates cultripes (western spadefoot toad)
Lineage: Eukaryota; Metazoa; Chordata; Amphibia; Anura; Pelobatidae
Source: the annotation of a GenBank genome assembly